GACGAACGCUGGCGGCGUGCUUAACACAUGCAAGUCGAACGGAAAGGCCCUGCUUUUGUGGGGUGCUCGAGUGGCGAACGGGUGAGUAACACGUGAGUAACCUGUCCUUGACUUUGGGAUAACUUCAGGAAACUGGGGCUAAUACCGGAUAGGAUCUCCUGCCGCAUGGUGGGGGUUGGAAAGUUUCGGCGGUUGGGGCUGGACUCGCGGCUUAUCAGCUUGUUGGUGGGGUAGUGGCUUACCAAGGCUUUGACGGGUAGCCGGCCUGGGAGGGUGACCGGCCACAUUGGGACUGAGAUACGGCCCAGACUCCUACGGGAGGCAGCAGUGGGGAAUAUUGCACAAUGGGCGGAAGCCUGAUGCAGCAACGCCGCGUGCGGGAUGACGGCCUUCGGGUUGUAAACCGCUUUCGCCUGUGACGAAGCGUGAGUGACGGUAAUGGGUAAAGAAGCACCGGCUAACUACGUG
This 468-nucleotide ribosomal RNA is filed under the name uncultured bacterium. RNAcentral's name for it is "partial 16S ribosomal RNA". It matches the Rfam family "Bacterial small subunit ribosomal RNA", at positions 28 to 507 of the family's 1533-position model. The record is from RNAcentral.